GGCCUCUGGGUGCUUACCUCAGGCUGUAUUCUUACACUCAAUAGAAAGAGGAUUCCGAGUAAACCUUGCCCGUAUACACCUAAGCCCACGCCCUGUACCUGGUAUGUAUUGUGAAUGGGGAGACAUGG
Molecule: small nucleolar RNA, 128 nt
Organism: Perognathus longimembris pacificus (Pacific pocket mouse)
Lineage: Eukaryota; Metazoa; Chordata; Mammalia; Rodentia; Heteromyidae
Product: small nucleolar RNA SNORA51
Exons: 1
Source: RefSeq, a predicted model, not a curated record